Molecule: ribosomal RNA, 121 nt
Filed under: Methanobacteriota archaeon
Lineage: Archaea; Methanobacteriati; Methanobacteriota
Source: RNAcentral
GAGGACGGUCAUAGCAUUUGGGGUUCACCUGGUCUCAUUCCGAACCCAGAAGUUAAGCCCAAGUGCGAAUGGUCGUGUACUAUGGUGCGCGAGCCCAUGGGAAAGGUCAUUACUGUCCACC